CCUACGGGAGGCAGCAGUGAGGAAUAUUGGUCAAUGGACGCAAGUCUGAACCAGCCAUGCCGCGUGCAGGAAGACGGCUCUAUGAGUUGUAAACUGCUUUUGUACGAGGGUAAAUCCCGAUACGUGUAUCGGGUUGAAAGUAUCGUACGAAUAAGGAUCGGCUAACUCCGUGCCAGCAGCCGCGGUAAUACGGAGGAUUCAAGCGUUAUCCGGGUUUAUUGGGUUUAAAGGGUGCGUAGGCGGUUCGAUAAGUUAGAGGUGAAAGCCCGGGGCUCAACUCCGGCACUGCCUCUGAUACUGUCGGGCUAGAGUGUAGUUGCGGUAGGCGGAAUGUAUGGUGUAGCGGUGAAAUGCAUAGAGAUCAGACAGAACACCGAUUGCGAAGGCAGCUUACCAGACUACGACUGACGUUGAGGCACGAAAGCGUGGGGAGCAAACAGGAUUAGAUACCCCAGUAGUC
RNAcentral lists this ribosomal RNA (460 nucleotides) under uncultured bacterium. RNAcentral describes it as "partial 16S ribosomal RNA". It matches the Rfam family "Bacterial small subunit ribosomal RNA", at positions 338 to 795 of the family's 1533-position model. The record is from RNAcentral.